GGCUCUUCUACGAGCAGCCCAACUACAGAGGCAGGCAGUACUUCAUGAGGCCCGGAGAGUACAGGAGGUUCAGCGACUGGGGAGGCAUGAGCCCCAGGAUCGGCUCCUUCCGGCGCCUCAUGGACUUCUGUUAAUCAGAACAUGUCAUUCACAAUUGAAAAUGAAACUGUUCUGGUGUAAAAAUAAAACCUUUUAAACAAAAACA
Lepisosteus oculatus (spotted gar) is the source of this 205-nucleotide non-coding RNA. The record is from RefSeq and is a predicted model, not a curated record. Lineage: Eukaryota; Metazoa; Chordata; Actinopteri; Semionotiformes; Lepisosteidae.